This 900-nucleotide long non-coding RNA is filed under the name Equus caballus (horse). Its description in RNAcentral is "lncRNA (ENSECAG00000060208.1)". Lineage: Eukaryota; Metazoa; Chordata; Mammalia; Perissodactyla; Equidae. The record is from RNAcentral.
GACAAUUGACUGAGAAAAAAGUACAUACUUGUGUGGUUUUGGAUUGAUCUUGAUGAUUAUUAUCAUGUCCAAAUUCCCCACUGCAGUGACUGUGUAGGUAGACAAGAAAGCUCAGGAAGAGUGGAAUCAGGAGCUCUGGAUAUUCUGAAAAACCCAGGAGAAACAUGUAAAGAGAAUGGGGAAGUAUAGACUAAUGAAGCGGAAAAGGCAUAGCUACAGUUAAGAAUGAUUUAAGGUGCACAUCUAAAGAGACCAGGCUGAAGGAACACUCUAUUUGUGGUAUGCUCUUCUCCAAGUUGAAUGCACAAGCUCAAGGAAGAAAGAUUCAAACCAUGCAGACAGCUGAUGAUUCUUGCUAAAAAUAACUUAAUGAAGAUACCAAAAAUUUCAUUUUUGCAACUGUCAAGAAAUUGUGGAGGAAGCAUAGAGAUGUCCUUGGGAUGUAUACAGAGCAGGAAACUAUAUUCCAUGAUCAUAUUGUUUGUUUUAUGCCUAACUACUUGACCAUGGGGACACAGGCCUUGGAGAAUUCUGACAAAGUUUGUUGUCAUGAGCUACAAACACAAUAAUUGGAGGAAAUUUCCUCUUCUGCAACUUAGAAUAUAAUUUCAUCGAAAUGAUUAACAUGUAGAUCUUUAUGUCUUAAAAAAAUUACCUCUGCAAAGAGACCAUAAUUCUUAAAAUCAUGAAAAAAUAUAGUCACAUCCAUCCAACGUCUUUGACAUAAUUAUUGUUGAUAUCAUAUGCUUUUUUCGUCUAUUUUGCUUAAGUGUUGGCACAAGUAUUUAUAUAGAAACACAUUUAACGUUAUACUGUAGAUAUUUUGACAUUCAAUAAUUUAUUGUUUGUUAUAUCCUGAAUAAGCAAUUCCUUCGGCUGGCAGUUGAGAGAGGAUAUGCU